UACGAAGGGGGCUAGCGUUGCUCGGAAUCACUGGGCGUAAAGCGCACGUAGGCGGACUCUUAAGUCAGGGGUGAAAUCCUGGAGCUCAACUCCAGAACUGCCUUUGAUACUGGGAGGCUUGAGUUCGGGAGAGGUGAGUGGAACUGCGAGUGUAGAGGUGAAAUUCGUAGAUAUUCGCAAGAACACCAGUGGCGAAGGCGGCUCACUGGCCCGAUACUGACGCUGAGGUGCGAAAGCGUGGGGAGCAAACAGG
RNAcentral lists this ribosomal RNA (253 nucleotides) under uncultured bacterium. RNAcentral's name for it is "partial 16S ribosomal RNA". It matches the Rfam family "Bacterial small subunit ribosomal RNA", at positions 524 to 776 of the family's 1533-position model. The record is from RNAcentral.